UACGUAGGGGGCGAGCGUUGUCCGGAAUUAUUGGGCGUAAAGAGCUUGUAGGCGGUCUGUCGCGUCUGCUGUGAAAAUCCGGGGCUCAACCCCGGACUUGCAGUGGGUACGGGCAGACUAGAGUGUGGUAGGGGAGACUGGAAUUCCUGGUGUAGCGGUGAAAUGCGCAGAUAUCAGGAGGAACACCGGUGGCGAAGGCAGGUCUCUGGGCCACUACUGACGCUGAGACGCGAAAGCGUGGGGAGCAAACAGG
This 253-nucleotide ribosomal RNA is filed under the name uncultured bacterium. Its description in RNAcentral is "partial 16S ribosomal RNA". It matches the Rfam family "Bacterial small subunit ribosomal RNA", at positions 524 to 776 of the family's 1533-position model. The record is from RNAcentral.